GUGGGUCACACGAACCGACCCCGUCCGUCCCCGCACGCCACCAAGGCAACCCAACAAAAAGCAUCCCACCGCGUCUCCGCCCGCCGCCACCAGCAGAUCCAUCCCCUCCCCUCACCUUUACCCUCGAGCUCGGCGGCGACCUCGACCCGCUCGCUCGUCCCGCCAAGCUCCUUGCCCCUCCGGCCAAGCCCGUGCCCGGCGCCAUGAACCCAUACGACCUCCGCUUCGCCGACCCCUUGUCGUACCACGACAGGCGCAGCGACCUGGCCGUGGCUCCUAUUGUCGCUCCGCCGGUCCUCAUGCCGGCGGCGAACAAUUUCGCCGCCGCGUAUCCGCCCGUGCCUGCGGCAUCCGCUGGCGUCGAUUACGCGCGCUACGGGCAGGGCGGCAGAGGCGGUGGAGGAGGAGGCAGAGGCGGUGGAGGCGGCUAUGGAGGUGGCGGUGGAGGCGGCUAUGGUGGCGGCAGAGGAGGGCGCGGCAGGGACGGGCUUGACACGCUCGCGCUGCCCAAGCCUGACUUCCGGAGCCUGAUACCGUUUGAGAAGAACUUCUACGUGGAGUCUCCCUCCGUGCAGGCUAUGUCGGAUGCGGAGGUGGCGCAGUACCGCCGCCUACGGGAUAUCACCGUCGAGGGCCGGGAUGUGCCCAAGCCAGUCCGAUACUUCCAGGAAGCCAACUUCCCAGAUUACUGCAUGCAAGCAAUUGCCAAAUCUGGGUUUGUGGAGCCGACACCUAUCCAAUCUCAAGGUUGGCCUAUGGCUCUGAAGGGUAGGGAUCUGAUUGGUAUCGCUCAAACAGGCUCAGGGAAAACAUUAUCUUAUCUGCUACCUGGGUUGGUUCAUGUUGGCGCCCAGCCUCGCCUAGAGCAAGGUGAUGGCCCGAUUGUAUUAAUCCUCGCCCCAACAAGAGAACUUGCUGUUCAAAUACAGGAAGAAUCCACAAAAUUUGGAUCGUAUUCAAGAACUAGAAGCACAUGUGUCUAUGGUGGUGCACCUAAGGGUCCACAAAUACGCGACCUUAGAAGAGGAGUGGAAAUUGUCAUUGCGACUCCUGGGCGGUUGAUUGAUUUGCUGGAAGCUGGUCACACAAACCUACGUAGAGUGACAUACCUUGUGCUGGACGAGGCAGACCGGAUGUUAGAUAUGGGGUUUGAGCCUCAAAUUCGAAAAAUUGUUGCACAGAUCCGGCCAGACAGGCAAACCUUAUAUUGGAGUGCCACUUGGCCUAGAGAAGUUGAAGCCUUAGCUAGACAGUUUCUGCAAAAUCCUUACAAGGUAACCAUAGGAUCACCUGACCUUAAAGCUAAUCAUUCCAUACAACAAAUUGUUGAAGUCAUUUCAGAGCAUGAGAAGUACCCGAGACUCAGUAAGCUCUUGUCUGAUUUAAUGGAUGGGAGUCGUAUCUUGAUAUUUUUCCAAACGAAAAAGGACUGUGAUAAGAUCACCAGGCAACUUAGAAUGGAUGGGUGGCCAGUAUUAUCUAUACAUGGUGAUAAGGCUCAAGCUGAAAGGGAUUAUGUUCUUGCAGAGUUUAAGAGUGGCAAGAGUCCUAUAAUGGCUGCCACAGAUGUAGCAGCACGUGGUCUUGGUAUGAUUAUUUAUUUGAAUUUUAGGAUUAGGUAGUAGUUCCAAGUGCUCAAGGAUAAGUCGGAGGACUGUUCAGCUGUGUUUGGUUGAGUGAACUGAACUUGUGGAUUGGUGGUGUAUACCAAGGUGCCAUCAUGUCAAAGGUAGAUCAUCUUUUCCUGUGGUUUACCUCACUUGAGCCUGAGCAUUGGCAGUGUUACCUGGGCACUUCAGCUUUCAGAUGACGCCUAUGUUGGACUGGCAUGCUGGACAGAUUUUGUUUGGGUUAUACGGUCUUGCGGAUAUUAGAUGCUCCUUAUUGAAUAAAUGGUUACCCAGGCAUGCCAGUUGCAGUAUUCAACAUUUCCUAAUAAAGGCUGAGAGGUUAAUCACCAUCAAUUCCACAUCCAGCAGUGAUUGAUACCCGGUUCAGUUUUUCAGCUCCUUCGACUUGUGUUUUAGAAAUUGGAAGUGCAGCACUGUGGAUUUUAUUUUUGGUGCUUGUCUAAACCAUGUACUGCCUUCUAUGGAGAUCGACAAUGUUGAUGUUCCAGUGGUCCAGCGUGGUUUUCAGGACAACACAUCAAUCUUGAUUAAGUACUGAUAACAUUUAUUAAUUUUGCAGAUGUGAAGGACAUAAAAUGUGUGAUAAAUUAUGAUUUUCCAACAACACUUGAAGAUUAUAUUCACAGGAUAGGUCGAACUGGCCGUGCUGGUGCCAGUGGAACUGCAUUUACUUUUUUCACACAUGCAAAUGCGAAGUUCUCAAGGAACCUAGUCAAGAUUUUGCGGGAAGCUGGCCAAGUCGUGAAUCCUGCACUAGAAACCAUGUCCAAAUCUGCGAGUUCGAUGGGAGGAGGCAAUUUCCGGUCGAGGGGCAGAGGUGGGUUUGGUAACCGGGGUCAUAUGUCUGGAUCAAAUACCUUUCCGUUAGGAGGAAGAAGGCCAUACUAAUGGGUGCCAAGGAACUAUGGGACUUCUAUUUGUAUACUAUUAGGCAUUAAAUGCAUUCUUCGGGAAAUUUCAGAGAAAUUCCCUCAACUUCUAUAGGACAUCAAAUCAAUUUGCUUCCGUUACUUAUUGCAUCUAUGAAGCUUAUGAUCACAUGGAACAUCAAAUUUUAUCAUACCAUUUGCAUUCAAGUCAAACUUA
This is an RNA transcript of Panicum virgatum (switchgrass), 2717 nucleotides long. It is a transcript of the gene named DEAD-box ATP-dependent RNA helicase 30, with no coding region annotated. NCBI's taxonomy places the organism in Eukaryota, Viridiplantae, Streptophyta, Magnoliopsida, Poales, Poaceae. The transcript has 10 exons. The record is from RefSeq and is a predicted model, not a curated record.